CCUACGGGAUGCAGCAGUGAGGAAUAUUGGUCAAUGGGCGUAAGCCUGAACCAGCCAAGUCGCGUGAGGGAUGAAGGUUCUAUGGAUCGUAAACCUCUUUUAUAAGGGAAUAAAGUGCGGGACGUGUCCCGUUUUGUAUGUACCUUAUGAAUAAGGAUCGGCUAACUCCGUGCCAGCAGCCGCGUUAAUACGGAGAAUCCGAGCGUUAUCCGGAUUUAUUGGUAUUAAGGGGUGCGUAGGCUGCCUUUUAAGUCAGCGGUGAAAGGCUGUGGCUCAACCAUAGAAUGGCCGUUGAAACUGGGAGGCUAGAGUAUGUUUGAGGCAGGCGGAAUGGGGGGUGUAGCAGUGAAAUGCGUAGAUAUCACGAAGAACCCCGAUUGCGAAGGCAGCCGGCCAAGCCAUGACUGACGCUGAUGCACGAAAGCGUGGGGAUCAAACAGGAUUAGAUACCCUAGUAGUC
This 460-nucleotide ribosomal RNA is filed under the name uncultured bacterium. RNAcentral describes it as "partial 16S ribosomal RNA". It matches the Rfam family "Bacterial small subunit ribosomal RNA", at positions 338 to 795 of the family's 1533-position model. The record is from RNAcentral.